CUUGAAGUGCUGGUGAAAAACAGGAUUGAAAAACAGGAAGGAAGAAGCAGAGAUUUGACUUAUGGAGAUUGAACUAGAGGACUAAAGCACUGCACCUGGCCCACCAUGAUGUUGUCACUGGAUCCUGGACAGUUACUUCACAUGCCUGAAUUUCUACCUCAUCCAGGUUUGUUCACAGAGCUAAACACUUGGAAAAACAUUUUGGAAAAAAAAAAAUGAAAUGCUUAUUCAUGGGAAAUCUUUACUCCACCCAGGAAAAGAUAAAUGGCACUUAAGAACUACUCUUUAAGAGUGAGAUGUUUAUUGAAAUAAGGGAGGCUAAUUGUCAAAAAUGAUGAGAAACAAAUGUGAAAAGCCCUAUGUUUGGAGCUCUGGCCACAUGGAGCGUUUAAACAAGCAUAUGCUGUGUUUCAAAAGAAGAGACGUAGUUUGAAAGUUGCCAUUUUUUGGAAAAGAAAUGUUCAGUGAAAGAGAGAGAGAGAAAACAACAACAACAACAACAAUCAUGGCUGCUAACAGCAGUUCCAGAACAUAGAGUAAGAAAGAGAACAUGGCUGCCAAUGUUCUCGUCUCUGAAAGGCUGAAACUCCACUUUGAUAUCAGUUUACCUUUUUAACAAUAUUUUCAUGACAAACCAGUUCUGCUGGAGACAUGUGUUAAAGGGGGUGAUGUGUGAUUGCUGCUAGAGAUAGGAUCACGUUCUCUAUAGAUAUGAGAUGUGUAGUUCUUCUUGGUCCAGUUCUCAGUCUUUCCACUGUUUUGCCAUGAAUUCCCAGAUCAGUCUAGAAUAGAGUUGCUCAAAGUUGGCACUGUUGACAUUUUAGGGAGAAAAUGCGUUAUUGGGAAAGGGCUGUUCUGUAUGUUGUCGGAUGUUUAACAGCAUCCUGGCCUCUACACAUGAGAUGCCAGUAGCAGCCCCCACCCAUUUGUAACAACUAAAAGUGUCUCCAGACAUGGCCAGAUGUCCUCAGGGAGGCGCAAGGAAAGGAGAGAGAAUUUACUGAGGAGAGCUUUUUACAUUUAUUGCUCUAGAUGAUAAAACAUAAAUUUACGGUUCUCAGAUAAGCUGUGUAUUGUAUGUUUACAAAUGUAUUCAGCAAAUGUAUUCAAGCAAACUUCAUGACACCAGAAUAGGGUAAACUUGGUCUUAGAUGGUCCCCAUUAGAAAAGGUCAGUAAUUUAGUAGUACUUCUAUUCUUCUCAGGCAAUAGGCAUUAUUUCUGGUGCCUCUAUAGAUUGUCUACAGCCUACAUGGGCUUUGGAAUCAGACUGACCUGGAUUUUGGUGCUGGCUCCCUCACCACCAGUGUAACCAUAGGCUUAUUAUUUGACCUCUCUAAACCUCAGUUUUCCUCAUCACAAAAGGGAGUCAGUAUUGACCUAAGAGGACUAUUGUAAGGAUUAAAUAAAAUAGCACACCUUCAUAUUUACACUUGGUAAUUCCCUAAUAAAUCAUCAUUUGUUAUGAUGUGGUGCAAUCACAUUCAGGUUCAAUGAAGUAGAGAUGUCAUUUUUCUUGUUUAACCACUGAACCAAUUAUGACUGACAGAUCUCAUUAAAUAGAGCAUGUUUAAAUAACCAUACAGUAGAACCUACAAAUAAUUAGAGCUCUUUCCAGCUUUUAUUUUUGACUUGUCUUUAGUUAUCCUCAUGUUGGAUGCACAUUAGUCACUUGUUUCUGUCCCAUCAGCCCACAGUUUUGUUUUCAGUGGGAGUGCCCAGUGAAAUAAUCAACAUGAACUUAAUUGCAACUUGACAAGCUGCAGAGUUGUUUCAAUAAAUGUGCAACAUGCUGAGCUGUAUGCACUUAGAAGUCAGCAAAUGUUGACCAGUAAUAUCUUAUUUGGGAUCCACCCAGGCCCCAUAACCCAGUGAUGGCAUUCCUCUGAAAUUAGGAAGAGAUUCAAGUUGCUCAAUGCUCCAUUUUAAACAGAAAUACACCAGCAAUAUACCAGCUGCAGGAAAGAGGAUGGGAAAGAGUCUCACAGCAGUCAAGAGCAGACAAUGAUCCAAGUGACAAGAAGACACAGGCCCAUUUGGGGUGUCUCCCAUUCAUUUCUGCUGAACUUUUUCCGAAGACCAUGCUGCUCAGAAUUGUGAAAGGGGACCAAUGACUAUUAUGAGAAACAAAAUAUUCUUCUUUACAAAAGCCUCCCAGAGGAAUAGGGAUGUUUACAGCACUUGGAGAAUGGCCAAGCUGGUGUAUCUUUCAGCACAAAGUGGAGACAUGUUCAAGUCCAGUUCACAGCCUAUGGUUUGUACAUAGGCAAAGCACACCAAAUGUCUCCCUAAAGGUGGUGUUACCCGAAUAGCCCUUUGAAGGCUUCUACCUGGGGAACAUGAUUGCCCAUUGACAAUCACCUCCAUUUGAGAGACUCAUCUGCCUCAAUGCAUUGUGCAACUUCAGGAAGCCUCAUUCGAGGGCCUGAGACAAACAUCUGGAGUGUUCAGCUGAGUCAAACCAAGUAAGUCAAAAGGGUGACCACUGUGCCCCUGAUCCUUUCCAGCCUCAUCGCUAACUCAGUGGUUGCUUCUCACUAGUACUAGUAGUACCUCCUGGGAGCAAGAAACAGAAAUACAACUCAUGGCAGUUUAGGCCUAAUGAAAGGAAGACCCUUUUAAUCAGGAGAAAGAAAAUGUUCAAACUCCAGCAUCAUAGUGUGAGUGUGGAGUGAGCAUUUCCUAGAAGGGAACUGUUGUUUUGGGCAUAUAAAACAACAGAUGUCCACUCCUACUUUCUGUCAUUUCCCACAGGUGAUAUUGAUGUAUAGCAGUAUUGAUGCUUUAAAUCAGGUUCACUACCUGCUUUUAUAAAGUUUUUUUUUUUGAUACAGCCAGUUCUAUUCAUUUACUUCUAAUUUCUGGUUGUCCAUUUGUUAUAAUGGCAGAGUUAAAUAGCUGCUCUAGAGACUAUGUGGUCUACAAAGCCUGUAUCUAAUAUCUGACUCUUCACAGAAAAACUGCUUAUCCCUGCUUUAAAUCAUUCUCUCAGAGAAUAUCUAGAUUUAAAAUUUGGCUUAAGUAAAUCCAAAAUGGUUACAGGUUUGACAAACCUUUCCAGUCCCUAUUUUUUUUAAAGGGACUGAUUAUAUAUUUAUAUAUAUUUGAUUAUAUGUCUAAAUGUAUAUAUUUAUUGCUGUAACUACCCUGAGAUAUUUAGUUUAUUUAGUUGUUUGUCAACCAGUUUUAAAAACUAAAACAUAUGAGAUUUAUAACAGAUUUACACUUCAAAAACUGAUCAUUUAAGAACAAAUAAUUAGGCUUUCCAUCUACCCUAAAUGUUCAAGAAUUUUAUGUAGUAUGGCCAUGACUCUACUUCAACUCCUUUUUAUUAAUUAACCAACUAAUUUCAAAUCAUAAACAGAUAAUGAUGGUCUUUUUAUAUAUUUAAAUAUCUUACAAAGUCUGGACAAAAUUUGACAAAAGUAAAUACUCAUAUUCUUCAUGAUGUAAUUAUUGCUGACUAAAAAUCCUAUUUUCCCCAGGCUUGACUUAGAUGGUCCUGGAACUUUCUACCACUAAAGAUCUCUAAAAAGCCAUGUGCUAACGGCUUAUAGGGAACUUCCUUCUAAUAUUCCAUUUUAUCUCUGUAAUUGCUAAAAUCGCCUGGGAAACUAACUAGAUUAUUAGUUCAUGAGAAGACUUUUAUGGGUUUUCUAAUGAUCCAGAUAGUUUAUGCCUUACUCCUUCUGACUUUUCCGUGAAUUAUGUAACUUAAUGAUGAAACAAUGGAAGAUUAAAUAAAUAAAUAAAUAAAAGUCCUGAAAGGACAUUUAC
RNAcentral lists this long non-coding RNA (3776 nucleotides) under Homo sapiens (human). RNAcentral describes it as "HSALNT0111869". Lineage: Eukaryota; Metazoa; Chordata; Mammalia; Primates; Hominidae. The record is from RNAcentral.